This 305-nucleotide ribosomal RNA is filed under the name uncultured bacterium. RNAcentral describes it as "bacterial SSU rRNA". It matches the Rfam family "Bacterial small subunit ribosomal RNA", at positions 343 to 665 of the family's 1533-position model. The record is from RNAcentral.
ACGAGGCAGCAGUGGGGAAUAUUGCACAAUGGGGGGAACCCUGAUGCAGCGACGCCGCGUGAGUGAAGAAGUAUUUCGGUAUGUAAAGCUCUAUCAGCAGGGCAGAAGAUGACGGUACCUGACUAAGAAGCCCCGGCUAACUACGUGCCAGCAGCCGCGGUAAUACGUAGGGGGCAAGCGUUAUCCGGAUUUACUGGGUGUAAAGUGAGCGUAGACGGCAGGGCAAGUCUGGAGUGAAAGCCCGGGGCCCAACCCCGGGACUGCUUUGGAAACUGCCAUGCUGGAGUGCUGGAGAGGUAAGCGGG